This 306-nucleotide long non-coding RNA is filed under the name Cicer arietinum (chickpea). RNAcentral's name for it is "long non-coding RNA (CARI_LNC003410)". Lineage: Eukaryota; Viridiplantae; Streptophyta; Magnoliopsida; Fabales; Fabaceae. The record is from RNAcentral.
CACAGAAUUACAAAUUUUAAAUGUAGCAUCCUAUUCUGAGAAUCAUGCAGUUGCUUGUCUCAACUGUCUAUUUGCUAUCCAUUUGUUUGAAUCAAAAGAUGAUGAUUUUAAUUCAUAAUAAUAUUUUGCCAGAUUUUAAUUCAUUGUUUGUUUUGUUUAAAUAAUCUGUUUUCCUUGUUCACAGUGGAUUGGCUGCCCAAAGAACACACGAGCCUUUAUUUAUGUGAAAAGGAUGGGGGAUUUUUAAGAAAAAUUGCAAUAUUCUCAUUUAUAUUGAAGAAAAAUUGGGGCUUUUUAAGCAAAAAC